GCUUACGGCCAUACCACCCUGAACACGCACGAUCUCGGAAGCUAAGCAGGGUCGGGCGUGGUUAGUACUUGAAUGGGAGACCGCCUGGGAAUACCAGGUGCUGUAAGCU
This 109-nucleotide ribosomal RNA is filed under the name Mola mola (ocean sunfish). Lineage: Eukaryota; Metazoa; Chordata; Actinopteri; Tetraodontiformes; Molidae. The record is from RNAcentral.